RNAcentral lists this ribosomal RNA (230 nucleotides) under uncultured bacterium. Its description in RNAcentral is "partial 16S ribosomal RNA". It matches the Rfam family "Bacterial small subunit ribosomal RNA", at positions 57 to 305 of the family's 1533-position model. The record is from RNAcentral.
GCAAGUCGAAGGAGAAGUUCAUUUCGGUGAAUGGAGACUGGCGAACGGGUGAGUAACACGUGGGAACCUGCCCUUCAGUUCGGGAUAACAGUUGGAAACGACUGCUAAUACCGGAUAUUCCCUCCGGGGGAAAGAUUUAUCGCUGAAGGAUGGGCCCGCGGUUGAUUAGAUAGUUGGUAGGGUAAUGGCCUACCAAGUCAACGAUCAAUAGCUGGUUUGAGAGGACGAUC